Molecule: unclassified non-coding RNA, 332 nt
Filed under: soil metagenome
Description: partial contains 5.8S ribosomal RNA, internal transcribed spacer 2, and large subunit ribosomal RNA
Rfam family: 5.8S ribosomal RNA (bases 1-120)
Source: RNAcentral
GAUGAAGAACGCGGCGAAAUGCGAUAAGUAGUGUGAAUUGCAGAAUUCAGUGAAUCAUCGAAUCUUUGAACGCACAUUGCGCCCUUUGGUAUUCCUUAGGGCAUGCCUGUUCGAGCGUCAUUUAAACCUUCAAGCUAAGCUUGGUGUUGGGUGACUGUCCGCUUCACGGCGGACUCGCCUCAAAAUUAUUGGCGGCCGGUACAUUGGCUUCGAGCGCAGCAGAAACGCGAACUCGGGCCCGUCGUAUUGGCUCCCAGAAGCUAUCUUCACAAUUUUGACCUCGGAUCAGGUAGGGAUACCUGCUGAACUUAAGCAUAUCAAUAAGCGGAGGA